RNAcentral lists this ribosomal RNA (494 nucleotides) under uncultured bacterium. RNAcentral's name for it is "partial 16S ribosomal RNA". It matches the Rfam family "Bacterial small subunit ribosomal RNA", at positions 28 to 507 of the family's 1533-position model. The record is from RNAcentral.
GACGAACGCUGGCGGCGUGCUUAACACAUGCAAGUCGAACGGUGAAGCGCCUUCCUUUUUGGUGGGUGUGGAUGAGUGGCGAACGGGUGAGUAACACGUGAGUAACCUGCCCCCUUCUUCUGGAUAACCGCAUGAAAGUGUGGCUAAUACGGGAUAUUCUGGGUCUGUCGCAUGAUGGGUCUGGGAAAGAUAUUGUUUCGGUGGGGGAUGGGCUCGCGGCCUAUCAGCUUGUUGGUGGGGUGAUGGCCUACCAAGGUGGUGACGGGUAGCCGGCCUGAGAGGGUGGACGGUCACACUGGGACUGAGACACGGCCCAGACUCCUACGGGAGGCAGCAGUGGGGAAUAUUGCACAAUGGGCGCAAGCCUGAUGCAGCGACGCCGCGGGAGGGAUGGAGGCCUUCGGGUUGUGAACCUCUUUCGCCAGUGAAGCAGGCCUGCCUCGUUUGUGGGUGGGUUGACGGUAGCUGGAUAAGAAGCGCCGGCUAACUACGUG